RNAcentral lists this ribosomal RNA (781 nucleotides) under uncultured Neocallimastigales. Its description in RNAcentral is "partial large subunit ribosomal RNA". It matches the Rfam family "Eukaryotic large subunit ribosomal RNA", at positions 24 to 635 of the family's 3401-position model. Lineage: Eukaryota; Fungi; Neocallimastigomycota; Neocallimastigomycetes; Neocallimastigales. The record is from RNAcentral.
UAUCUCUGUAGAGUCCGCAUAUCAAUAAGCGGAGGAAAAGAAACUAACAUAGGAUUCCCUCAGUAACGGCGAGUGAAGCGGGAAGAGCUCAAAUUUGAAAUCUUCAAGGUUCUACCUUGACGAAUUGUAGUUUAAAGAAGUGUUUUCUGUUAGAUGAGUAGCAAAAGUUCCUUGGAAUGGGACAUCAUAGAGGGUGAGAAUCCCGUAUUUGGUUAUUCAUUCUAGCUUUGUGAUACACUUUCAAAGAGUCGGGAUUGUUUGGGAAUGCAGGUCCAAAAUGGGUGGUAAAUUUCAUCUAAAGCUAAAUAUUGGCGAGAGACCGAUAGCGAACAAGUACCGUGAGGGAAAGAUGAAAAGAACUUUGAAAAGAGAGUUAAACAGUACGUGAAAUUGUCAAAAGGGAAGCGUUUGACACCAGUGUUGUUUUCUCGAAAAUCAAUUAAAAAAUGGCAUGAUUUUGUGUUGUAUUGACCUUUAUCAAGCUUUCUUCACUCUUUUUCUUGUCUUUUUUAAUGCACUUUUCGUUUAACAAGUCAACAUCAAUUUCUUUUGUUGUAAAAGGGUCAUUGGAAGGUGGCUUUCUUUUCGGAGAAAGUGUUUAUAGCCUUUGGCCUCUGCAAUCGGAGAGAUUGAGGUCUGCAGCGUAGAUCCUUCGGGGUUAGAUAAAUUUGUGCUAAGUUGUAGCUUUUCAUAGACAACUUGUUGACUAUGUUUAGUCAUGCGGCUUACUCGCUUAUGCUAUUUUACCUACGCUUAGGAUGUUGAAGAUGUAGCACAUCAU